Long non-coding RNA from Talpa occidentalis (Iberian mole), 919 nucleotides. RefSeq lists it as uncharacterized. The transcript is spliced from 4 exons. The record is from RefSeq and is a predicted model, not a curated record. Lineage: Eukaryota; Metazoa; Chordata; Mammalia; Eulipotyphla; Talpidae.
ACUGUGGUAGUUAAGAGCACAGGGGCAGGGCAGAAAGAGUGGGUCAGGAACAGAGAGCUCCUUGAUCCUGAUCCGUGAGAGAUGCUCAAUGACUGCUCGUGAACAUUACCACCAUCCCAUUAUGAUGAUUGUCACUGUCACAUCAUCAUCAUCAUCAUCAUCAUCAGCAGCAGCAGCAGCAGCAGCAGCAUCAUCCCCAGACUGGAGCUUUCUUCUCUAAGAAGAUACCGCGCAUUCCAGAAUAUUACAUUUCCUGUAUUUGUCAUGCCUAAAUAGCUGUGGAAAGAAGGACCAUCUAUGGAGUGGAAUCAGCCUCCAUUGUCCAGAGGACAUAGAGUGCGUAGGAGACAGCGGAAAGCCAGAAGACCUGGGUGUGAACUCUGCCUCUGCACCUUACUUUCCGAAUGGCCUUGGUCUGCAUACAACUGUGUGAGGUGACCUAAUGAUGCAAGCAACUCCAGGCACGGCUGCAUUUUGGAGUUUCACUCUGUUUACCACUUGGCUUGGAAGGUUGCAAUUGUCAGAAGUCAGAGAAGAUGGAGGGAAAAAGCAGAAGGCACAUUGGAGCGAAAAGAAGAGGGACAGAUAAACCCUAGCUGUGUGAAGAGGCUCUGAUCAAAUUAAAAUUAACAGAUGGUCCUGAUAAUAUGUCUCUGGAAAGUGGUAUAAGUAAUAGGAACUGAAUUUAAGCCAAUUUGAGAUGUUUCUGGAUUCCAUGCCCACAGUCCUGAAGCUUUCACCUGGACACUUGCUCUGAGAAGUGACCCUCCCCUCCCUGAGGACUUUCAGCUGCCGGGAAUUUUCCAGACCAGACCCCACCUGCUCGGUGUUACCAAUCUCUCAAGCUUUGCCAAUAGGUUCAUAACCUUCCUCCUCUGCUGCCAAUUUAAUUGUAUGCUUAUAUAGUUGUAAAGUAAAU